RNAcentral lists this unclassified non-coding RNA (527 nucleotides) under Borreliella burgdorferi (Lyme disease spirochete). RNAcentral's name for it is "partial 16S-23S ribosomal RNA intergenic spacer". Lineage: Bacteria; Pseudomonadati; Spirochaetota; Spirochaetia; Spirochaetales; Borreliaceae. The record is from RNAcentral.
UCCCUACUCUUUUCUUUUGAUAGGAGAGUUUUUAAAACCAGUGUUAUUUUUGUAAGUUUAAGAGAAGUUUGUGUAUUGAAUUUUUUAUUUUUAAUAUUAAAGAGCUUUGUUAAACUUAGACUUAAGUUUAGGUCAUUUUGGGGGUUUAGCUCAGUUGGCUAGAGCAUCGGCUUUGCAAGCCGAGGGUCAAGGGUUCGAGUCCCUUAACCUCCAUUGGGCUUAUGUCCUAAAUCGUAAUUAAGUAUGUUUUUAAGUAACUUUGUUAAAGUAAUUGUUGGAAYGUGAAACAGAGGAAGUUAAAAUUUCUGGGUUAAGUUGAGAUCUGUUGAUAUUAAGAAGWAUCUMUAGAAGCAAAAGCWAGCUUUCGAUAAAACCCGAAGUUGUUUCGCUAAAGUGCAAGGAUUAAACAGGAUUGUAUUUUCCAGUAGCCUAUUUUAUAAAYGAUCUGCAUUUAGUAAAUAGUUUUUAGUUAAGAAAUAAUGUAGAUUGSUAAGUGUGAUGCCUGAAAGAAGGACAAGUAUKGUAGC